CACUGUCAGGGAGAAGGCUCUCCUGUGCUCCAAGGGAACUGUCACCCUAGGAUGUUCCCUGGGACCCAUUUCAGCUCCCCUCAAAGAAGUCACCAAGUCCAAGUUUGAAAACACAUCCUGAGGUUUUGGAAGCAACACCAUCACCCAAAAUGGCAGCUGGUAAGCAAUCUGAAACCACAGAAAAGCAACUCUCUUCGAACGAACAGAAACCAGCCAGUUAACGCUUCUCUUCCUAAGCCUUUUGUCUAUUUCAUUUUGGCCAACAAAUUUUUCUCCCCCAUUAAAGAAAACCAGCCAAGGUA
Molecule: non-coding RNA, 302 nt
Organism: Phascolarctos cinereus (koala)
Lineage: Eukaryota; Metazoa; Chordata; Mammalia; Diprotodontia; Phascolarctidae
Source: RefSeq, a predicted model, not a curated record